Molecule: RNA transcript, 3039 nt
Organism: Populus euphratica (Euphrates poplar)
Lineage: Eukaryota; Viridiplantae; Streptophyta; Magnoliopsida; Malpighiales; Salicaceae
Gene: MAA3
Gene name: P-loop containing nucleoside triphosphate hydrolases superfamily protein
Exons: 22
Source: RefSeq, a predicted model, not a curated record
UAAACCCUCUCCCUCUUCUUCUCCUUCUUCCUCUCCCUCAGUCACUCAGUCCUUUCGCAGAACGCUCGUGGCCGGCGAGUUGCGCCACCGGCAGCCCAUUCUUCUUCCUUUUUCUCUGUAAAGGGAUAAAAGAUGGCAUUGGAUAAAGAUAGGCUUCGGGAAGAAGAAGAAGCAUCCUUUGUUCGUUUUUGCAAAAUUAUUCUGGGCUGGGACUAUUUUGGUCUUCUCACAGAAGCUGCUCAGAAACAGAAAAAAGAGCGUGGCAAGGGAGGUGGUUCGGGUUUAAGACAAGUAAAGAAUACGUACAAAGAUGUUGAUGAUUAUCUUGCAACUUUCGAGCCCCUUUUAUUUGAAGAAGUUAAAGCUCAGAUUAUUCAAAAGAAGGAUGACGAAGAAGUGACGGAAUGGGUUCUGAGACUUGUAGUGGAAUGCAAUGAGUCAGAGGGAUUUCUUUUACCUUCAGUUACUUAUGGAGAUGAUGAAGGCGAGAAAAUAGUACAAAACGAUCUUUUGCUGCUUUCAGAAGAUCAGUUUAAAGAGGGUGGUGGAAAAUUCCCCCAGGUCUAUGCAUUUGCCUUGGUUGAGCAACGCCAACAUAACCUUCUUAGACUUAGAAUGUUUUUAGCUGGGGAGGUCAUGAAUUUAAAUACAGAUGUUAUUGAAUCUCGUACAAGACUGUUGAAGAUGCACGGUUUGAUUACUUCUCCUGGAUUGCUGCAUGAGAAACGCUUGUUUAGUCUAAAGAUAUGCAGCCUAUCAACGAUCUCUCGUGAAUACUUUGCUUUGCGGUCAAUUGGCUCUCUUCCUUUCAAGGAUUUAAUACUAGCAGCAGCUGAUAAAAGUUCCGGUUCUGAAGACCAGGCAUGGAAAGUUUCCCAACCUCUGUCUGAACAUUUUCAAGGAAGUCUUAAUAAGUCACAAAUGGAAGCAAUAGAUGCUGGUCUAUUGCGCAAAGCCUUUGUCUUGAUACAGGGUCCUCCUGGAACCGGGAAGACACAAACUAUCCUCGCUCUUCUUAGUGCAAUUUUGCAUGCAACUCCAACAAGAGUGCACACCAUGGCUGGGUUGCAUGAAACUAAACGCGGGUCAGAACUACCAAUUCAAGAAAAGUACAAUCAUUGGGCACGAGCUUCUCCAUGGUGGACUGGUAACAAUCCAAGAGAUAAGAACAUGCCUAAAGAUGGCGAUGAUGGUUUUUUCCCUACCAGUGGAAAUGAUUUUAAACCAGAAGUCAUUGCUUCCAGUCGCAAAUAUCAUGUACGUGUGUUGGUAUGUGCCCCAUCAAACUCUGCUUUAGAUGAAAUAGUGUUGCGCCUUCUCAAGACAGGUGUUCAUGAUGAAAAUGUCCGUUCAUAUAAUCCUAAAAUUGUGCGGAUUGGUCUUAAAGCUCAUCAUUCUGUCCAGUCAGUCUGCAUGGAUAACCUUGUGAAACAAAAACAAGGCGAAUCAGCUUCUGAUAAACAGAAACAUAGAACUGCAGGAGGGGAUAUAGACAGCAUCCGUGCUGCUAUUCUAGAGGAAUCUGUAAUUGUCUUUUCCACCCUCAGCUUCAGUGGUUCGGCACUUUUUAGUAAAUUGAACCAUGGUUUCGAUGUUGUUAUUAUAGAUGAAGCUGCCCAAGCUGUCGAACCAGCAACUCUUGUGCCAUUGGUCAAUGGAUGCAAACAAGUAUUUCUGGUUGGUGAUCCAGUUCAACUCCCAGCCACUGUAAUUUCUCCCACUGCUGGGAAAUUUGGCUAUGGCACGAGUUUGUUUGAAAGGUUUCAAAGAGCUGGUUAUCCAGUAAAUAUGCUGAAGAUGCAGUAUCGUAUGCAUCCAGAGAUAAGGAGCUUUCCUUCAAGUGAAUUUUAUGCCGAGGCACUGCAGGAUGCAGAUGAUCUUGAGAGAAGGACAACACGUGAUUGGCAUCAGUAUCACUGCUUUGGUCCAUUUUGCUUCUUUGAUGUACAUGAGGGGAAAGAAUCUCAGCCUUCUGGAAGUGGGUCCUGGGUGAAUGUUGAUGAAGUUGAAUUUGUGCUACUCCUGUAUCAUAAACUGGUGACCAUGUAUCCAGAGCUUAGGUCGAGCUCACAGUUUGCAAUUAUAUCACCCUAUAGACACCAAGUCAAGCUUUUCCAGGAUCGAUUUCAGGAUGCUUUUGGGCAGGAGUCCAAAACAUUUGUGGAUAUUCAAACUGUUGAUGGUUUCCAGGGUCGAGAAAAGGAUGUCGCAAUAUUCUCAUGUGUUAGGUCAAAUGAUGAUAGAAGGAUUGGGUUUGUAUCUGAUGCCCGGCGAAUGAAUGUUGGUAUCACUCGCGCUAAGUCUUCUGUCCUGGUCGUAGGGUCAGCAUCAACUUUGAGGAAUGAUGAGCAUUGGAACAACCUUGUGGAAAGUGCCGAGAAGAGAAAUGUUCUAUUCAAGGUCUCGAAGCCCUACUCUUCAUUUUUCAGUGACUCAAAUCUCAACUCCAUGAAGGUGGAGAGAUCACUACCAGAUGGACUUGACACAGAGGACAUGGAGAUUAAUGAGCUCUUGGAUGUACAUCGGGGACAUGCUGAUGAAGAACAAGCAGAGGACAAUGACUUAGAAGAUGGUGAAAUGGAUGGAGGUGGCUAUGACGAGGACUGAUGUAAACUGGCUUCUCAUGUUGAUGGAUCCACUCUAUAUGCUUUUAGUUUUAGCCAAUUGAGAUUCCUGAGAUCCUCUAAAUGGAGGGUGCUGUAAAAAGAAACAGAAGGAUGCUGAUGAGUGCUUCAAUUGAGACGGCGAAUAGCGGUGAAGAUAAUGUGGCAACCGUGCAGAAAAUCAAUCCACACCCGAAUAAAAAGCAAAAGAAGAAGAUGAUAACAUCGUGUCUCACCUCUAAGGGAGUUCAACGAGACCGUUUUGGAGCUCCUUUGUUUCGAUGCAUCUGCACUUGCUUUGGAAGAUUGAUUUAUUUAGGGUUUUCAACUUUCUUAUUUUAACUCAUUAACAUAUUAUUAUAUAAUAUAAUGAAUUCCUAUAUUUGGUUUUGUGAUUUUCAAAUUUAUGAAAAAGAAUAGACGAUUACAUUUAUAA